GAUGAACGCUGGCGGCGUGCCUAAUACAUGCAAGUCGAGCGAACAGACGAGGAGCUUGCUCCUCUGACGUUAGCGGCGGACGGGUGAGUAACACGUGGAUAACCUACCUAUAAGACUGGGAUAACUUCGGGAAACCGGAGCUAAUACCGGGUAAUAUAUUGAACCGCAUGGUUCAAUAGUGAAAGACGGUUUUGCUGUCACUUAUAGAUGGAUCCGCGCCGCAUUAGCUAGUUGGUAAGGUAACGGCUUACCAAGGCAACGAUGCGUAGCCGACCUGAGAGGGUGAUCGGCCACACUGGAACUGAGACACGGUCCAGACUCCUACGGGAGGCAGCAGUAGGGAAUCUUCCGCAAUGGGCGAAAGCCUGACGGAGCAACGCCGCGUGAGUGAUGAAGGUCUUCGGAUCGUAAAACUCUGUUAUUAGGGAAGAACAAAUGUGUAAGUAACUAUGCACGUCUUGACGGUACCUAAUCAGAAAGCCACGGCUAACUACGU
RNAcentral lists this ribosomal RNA (496 nucleotides) under uncultured bacterium. Its description in RNAcentral is "partial 16S ribosomal RNA". It matches the Rfam family "Bacterial small subunit ribosomal RNA", at positions 28 to 506 of the family's 1533-position model. The record is from RNAcentral.